This 481-nucleotide ribosomal RNA is filed under the name uncultured bacterium. RNAcentral's name for it is "partial 16S ribosomal RNA". It matches the Rfam family "Bacterial small subunit ribosomal RNA", at positions 28 to 505 of the family's 1533-position model. The record is from RNAcentral.
GAUGAACGCUGGCGGCGUGCCUAACACAUGCAAGUCGAACGGAGUCGUUUUGGAAAUCUCUUCGGAGAUGGAAUUCUCGACUUAGUGGCGGACGGGUGAGUAACGCGUGAGCAAUCUGCCUUUAAGAGGGGGAUAACAGUCGGAAACGGCUGCUAAUACCGCAUAAAGCAUUAAAUUCGCAUGUUUUUGAUGCCAAAGGAGCAAUCCGCUUUUAGAUGAGCUCGCGUCUGAUUAGCUAGUUGGCGGGGUAACGGCCCACCAAGGCGACGAUCAGUAGCCGGACUGAGAGGUUGAACGGCCACAUUGGGACUGAGACACGGCCCAGACUCCUACGGGAGGCAGCAGUGGGGAAUAUUGCGCAAUGGGGGAAACCCUGACGCAGCAACGCCGCGUGAUUGAAGAAGGCCUUCGGGUUGUAAAGAUCUUUAAUCAGGGACGAAACAAAUGACGGUACCUGAAGAAUAAGCUCCGGCUAACUACG